GGAGCAGUGGCUGAGUGGUUUAAAGCGACGGUCUUGAAAACCGUUUUACCCUUUCGGGUAACGGGGGUUCGAAUCCCUCCUGCUCCG
Non-coding RNA from Planctomycetes bacterium RBG_13_44_8b, 87 nucleotides. The record is from Rfam. NCBI's taxonomy places the organism in Bacteria, Pseudomonadati, Planctomycetota.